This 67-nucleotide small nucleolar RNA is filed under the name Stegastes partitus (bicolor damselfish). Lineage: Eukaryota; Metazoa; Chordata; Actinopteri; Pomacentridae. The record is from RNAcentral.
CUGGAGAUGAUGCAUAAUGUCCUCUGAGUACCCAUGAAGGUGUUUGUAUUCAUACUGUCUGAUCCAG